GAUGAAGAACGUAGCGAAAUGCGAAAAGUAGUGUGAAUUGCAGAAUUCAGUGAAUCAUCGAAUCUUUGAACGCACAUUGCGCCCGCCAGUAUUCUGGCGGGCAUGCCUGUCUGAGCGUCAUUUCAACCCUCACGCCCCUAGGGCGUGGUGUUGGGGAUCGGCCAGCGCCCUCGCGGGCGAGGCCGUCCCCUAAAUCUAGUGGCGGACCCGUCGUGGCCUCCCCUGCGAAGUAGUGAUAUUCCGCAUAGGAGAACGACGAGCCCCUGCCGUUAAACCCCCAACUUUCUCAGGUUGACCUCAGAUCAGGUAGGAAUACCCGCUGAACUUAAGCAUAUCAAUAAGCGGAGGA
Molecule: unclassified non-coding RNA, 349 nt
Filed under: soil metagenome
Description: partial contains 5.8S ribosomal RNA, internal transcribed spacer 2, and large subunit ribosomal RNA
Rfam family: 5.8S ribosomal RNA (bases 1-120)
Source: RNAcentral